Molecule: ribosomal RNA, 429 nt
Filed under: Gemmatimonadota bacterium
Lineage: Bacteria; Pseudomonadati; Gemmatimonadota
Description: Gemmatimonadetes bacterium partial 16S ribosomal RNA
Rfam family: Bacterial small subunit ribosomal RNA
Source: RNAcentral
UAGGGAAUCUUCGGCAAUGGACGAAAGUCUGACCGAGCAACGCCGCGUGAGUGAAGAAGGUUUUCGGAUCGUAAAACUCUGUUGUUAGAGAAGAAAAAGGACGUUAGUAACCGAACGUCCCCUGACGGUAUCUAACCAGAAAGCCACGGCUAACUACGUGCCAGCAGCCGCGGUAAUACGUAGGUGGCAAGCGUUGUCCGGAUUUAUUGGGCGUAAAGCGAGCGCAGGCGGUUUCUUAAGUCUGAUGUGAAAGCCCCCGGCUCAACCGGGGAGGGUCAUUUGAAACUGGGAGACUUGAGUGCAGAAGAGGAGGGUGGAAUUCCCGGUGUAGCGGUGAAAUGCGUAGAUAUAUGGAGGAACACCAGUGGCGAAGGCGGCUCACUGGUCUGUAACUGACGCUGAGGCUCGAAAGCGUGGGGAGCAAACAGG